This 126-nucleotide microRNA precursor is filed under the name Zea mays. RNAcentral describes it as "miR393a stem-loop (zma-MIR393a)". Its record names the gene zma-MIR393a. The stretch from base 11 to 116 matches the Rfam family "mir-393 microRNA precursor family". The record is from miRBase by way of RNAcentral. Lineage: Eukaryota; Viridiplantae; Streptophyta; Magnoliopsida; Poales; Poaceae.
CCAGGAAGCUGGUGGAGGACUCCAAAGGGAUCGCAUUGAUCUAUUCUCACCUGCCGCCUGCUGCAUGCGAUGCGAGUCGACGACAAGAUCAGUGCAAUCCCUUUGGAAUUUUCCACUCGCGCCUUC